GUGGGAACCUGCCCAGUAGUAGAGAAUAACUUGGGGAAACUUAAGCUAAUACUUUAUAAGUCCUUCGGGAGAAAGCUUUAUGCGCUAUUGGAUGGGCCCGCGUUAGAUUAGUUUGUUGGUGAGGUAACGGCUCACCAAGGCGACGAUCUAUAGCUGGUCUGAGAGGAUGAUCAGCCACACUGGGACUGAGACACGGCCCAGACUCCUACGGGAGGCAGCAGUGGGGAAUAUUGGACAAUGGGGGCAACCCUGAUCCAGCGAUGCCGCGUGAGUGAUGAAGGCCCUAGGGUUGUAAAACUCUUUCGUCAGGGAAGAUAAUGACGGUACCUGAAGAAGAAGAUCCGGCUAACUCCGUGCCAGCAGCCGCGGUAAUACGGAGGGGUCUAGCGUUAUUCGGAAUUACUGGGCGUAAAGCGAGCGUAGGCGGAUUUGUAAGUUGGAGGUGAAAUCCCAGGGCUUAACUCUGGAACUGCCUUCAAAACUACAUUUCUUGAGUUUGGUAGAGGAGAGUGGAAUUCCUAGUGUAGAGGUGAAAUUCGUAGAUAUUAGGAGGAACACCAGUGGCGAAGGCGACUCUCUGGGCCAAUACUGACGCUGAGGUUCGAAAGCAUGGGUAGCGAACAGGAUUAGAUACCCUGGUAGUCCAUGCAGUAAACGAUGAGUGCUAGAUGUUGGGAAUUUAAAUUUCCAGUAUCGCAGUUAACGCGUUAAGCACUCCGCCUGGGAAGUACGG
RNAcentral lists this ribosomal RNA (733 nucleotides) under uncultured Alphaproteobacteria bacterium. RNAcentral's name for it is "bacterial SSU rRNA". It matches the Rfam family "Bacterial small subunit ribosomal RNA", at positions 117 to 885 of the family's 1533-position model. The record is from RNAcentral. Lineage: Bacteria; Pseudomonadati; Pseudomonadota; Alphaproteobacteria.